RNAcentral lists this ribosomal RNA (253 nucleotides) under uncultured bacterium. RNAcentral describes it as "partial 16S ribosomal RNA". It matches the Rfam family "Bacterial small subunit ribosomal RNA", at positions 524 to 776 of the family's 1533-position model. The record is from RNAcentral.
UACAGGGGGUGCUAGCGUUGUUCGGAAUUACUGGGCGUAAAGGGCGCGUAGGCGGCUUCGUAAGUCAGAUGUGAAAUCCCCGGGCUUAACUCGGGACGUGCAUUUGAAACUGCGAGGCUAGAGUGCAGUAGAGGAUGGUGGAAUUCCCAGUGUAGAGGUGAAAUUCGUAGAUAUUGGGAGGAACACCGGUGGCGAAGGCGGCCAUCUGGGCUGUAACUGACGCUGAGGCGCAAAAGCGUGGGGAUCAAACAGG